Molecule: ribosomal RNA, 326 nt
Filed under: uncultured eukaryote
Lineage: Eukaryota
Description: partial 18S ribosomal RNA
Rfam family: Eukaryotic small subunit ribosomal RNA
Source: RNAcentral
CCCUUGAUGUUCUGGGCCGCACACGCGCUACACUGAAGGAGGCAGCGUGUACUCCUGGAUCGAAAGAUUUGGGUAACCCGCGAAUCUCCUUCGUGCUAGGGAUUGAGGUUUGCAAUUAUCCUUCAUGAACGAGGAAUUCCCAGUAAGUGCAAGUCAUAAGCUUGCGCUGACUACGUCCCUGCCCUUUGUACACACCGCCCGUCGCUACUACCGAUUGAAUGAUUUAGUGAGGACUUCGGACUGGGACCGAUGCGGCUUUCGGGCUGCGUCGGUAUUCUGGAAAGAUGUCCAAACUGUAUCAUUUAGAGGAAGUAAAAGUCGUAACA